UUCUUCUAUUUUUCUUUCGGGAAUUGCAGUAUCCUGGGUUUUUACGCAGAGGAAAAAUCCUUAAUGGAACAAAGUUAUCAUCAUCAUGGGUCCUUCUCUUUUCAAAGAUUACAGGAGAAAAAUGAGGAUGGAACAGUGGAUGGAGAGUGUGGGUCGGUGUUUGGAGGAUUUAGAAUUCCUCGAAGUUUUUUGAGACUUCAAGCCAACCAGAAGAAAAGGAGUUCUGAUUACAGGGAACUUUUUUAGCACACUCAUGAUCAGUUGUCUGAUAGAAUGGAGAGCUUGGAGAAAGGAAAGAGCAAAAUCUCAAGGUAUUCACAGUUAGUUCUCAAUUUGAUUUAUUGUAUUUCAUAUUUCUAGAUAUUGCAGGAAAAGAAAGGGAUGGAUUUUGAAUUUUCAGUUUACUUGCAUGUGUAUGGACAGCGAGCAGCUCAUUACUUCAUCUGUCUUUUGCUUCUUUCUUUUUUUCACUGCAAUAAUAUCUGACGAGAUUUUGCAACCUCACCUAUGAUUUUGCAGCUUGAAAUGUUUGUGUUUUUGCCUUUGGAACUGUUGGUGGAAAUAUCUCUGCUGGGAGGGAAAAAACAGAGGCUGUUGUGGCUUUUCAUUUAAGAAAUCACCAAAGCAGACUGAUCCGCUCUCUAUUCUUGCUGUUGAUCUUUUUUCACGUAGAGAGUUUCCAGACUGUUAAAUUCAACAGUACAAAGAAAACUGAGUAUAUGUUGUUUCCUUUUGCCAAUCUCUUGCCUUCACUGCAUGCGUCUAUAUGCAAAUAUCUGUUCGACAA
Molecule: long non-coding RNA, 787 nt
Organism: Populus euphratica (Euphrates poplar)
Lineage: Eukaryota; Viridiplantae; Streptophyta; Magnoliopsida; Malpighiales; Salicaceae
Exons: 2
Source: RefSeq, a predicted model, not a curated record